Molecule: ribosomal RNA, 444 nt
Filed under: Hymenobacter sp.
Lineage: Bacteria; Pseudomonadati; Bacteroidota; Cytophagia; Cytophagales; Hymenobacteraceae
Description: bacterial SSU rRNA
Rfam family: Bacterial small subunit ribosomal RNA
Source: RNAcentral
UCAGGAUGAACGCUAGCGGCAGGCCUAAUACAUGCAAGUCGAACGGUUUCCAGCAAUGGAGAUAGUGGCGCACGGGUGCGUAACGCGUAACCAACCUACCCGAAUCUGGGGGAUAGCCCGCCGAAAGGCGGAUUAAUACCGCAUAAGACUAUGAGCCGGCAUCGGAUGGUAGUUAAAGAUUUAUUGGAUUCGGAUGGGGUUGCGUGCCAUUAGCUAGUUGGGGGGGUAACGGCCCACCAAGGCGACGAUGGCUAGGGGAGCUGAGAGGCUGGUCCCCCACACGGGCACUGAGAUACGGGCCCGACUCCUACGGGAGGCAGCAGUAGGGAAUAUUGGGCAAUGGAGGAGACUCUGACCCAGCCAUGCCGCGUGCCGGAUGAAGGCCUUCUGGGUCGUAAACGGCUUUUUUCCGGGAAGAACCGGUUCCUUGCGAGGGGCUCUGAC